This 486-nucleotide ribosomal RNA is filed under the name uncultured bacterium. RNAcentral describes it as "partial 16S ribosomal RNA". It matches the Rfam family "Bacterial small subunit ribosomal RNA", at positions 28 to 523 of the family's 1533-position model. The record is from RNAcentral.
GGUGAACGCUGGCGGCGUGCUUAACACAUGCAAGUCGAACGGAAAGGCCUCAGCUUGCUGGGGUACUCGAGUGGCGAACGGGUGAGUAACACGUGGGUGAUCUGCCCUGCACUUUGGGAUAAGCUUGGGAAACGGGGUCUAAUACCGAAUAUGACCACUUCUUGGAUGUUGUGGUGGAAAGCUUUUGCGGUGUGGGAUGAGCCUGCGGCCUGUCAGCUUGUUGGUGGGGUAAUGGCCUACCAAGGCGGCGACGGGUAUCCGGCCUGAGAGGGUGUACGGACACAUUGGGACUGAGAUACGGCCCAGACUCCUACGGGAGGCAGCAGUGGGGAAUAUUGCACAAUGGGCGCAAGCCUGAUGCAGCGACGCCGCGUGGGGGAUGAAGGCCUUCGGGUUGUAAACUCCUUUCGCUAUCGACGAAGCCACUUGUGGUGACGGUAGGUAGAUAAGAAGCACCGGCUAACUACGUGCCAGCAGCCGCGGUAA